GGAAGAAUUCUUUGGGAGAGGAUUAAGUCACCUUCAUUUAGACCGAACCUUUAUAAUUUCCUUGUAACUUUCUUUUUCCCUUAUCAUCCAUCACUAAUGUUAUCCAUUGGUAUAUGGAAAAUUUCUUGUAGUUACCGACUCCUACUAUAAUGGCAAUGAAGAAGGUAAUGAUUUUUGUGUUUCAACUGUUGCUUUCUCAUUCAUGUCAAAUCCGUUUUUCUUUGAGAUCACUUUUCUUUGAAUGUGUUAU
RNAcentral lists this long non-coding RNA (250 nucleotides) under Lathyrus oleraceus (garden pea). RNAcentral describes it as "Pisum sativum (pea) long non-coding RNA (PSAT_LNC008269)". Lineage: Eukaryota; Viridiplantae; Streptophyta; Magnoliopsida; Fabales; Fabaceae. The record is from RNAcentral.